UGUCUUCCAAAUAAAGACUAGUAUGAACGGCCAAAUGAGGACCUAACUGUCUCCCAUAGUUAAUCAAUGAACCUGAUCUCUCAGUACAAAAGCUGAAAUAAAUACAUAAGACGAGAAGACCCUGUGGAGCUUUAGCCAAACUAUUAAAUGUUUAAAUCACCACCAACAGGCAUCAAACUCCAUUAUAAUAAUAAACUUAAGUUGGGGCAACUUUGAAAACAAAAAAAACUUUCAAGCCCUUGUAGGCCUAUUAAACCUAAGCCAAGAACAACAAGUCUAAGCACAACAAAUGACCCAGUAUAACUGAUCAACGAACCAAGUUACCCCAGGGAUAACAGCGCAAUCCUCUUUAAGAGUCCUUAUCGACAAGAGGGUUUACGACCUCGAUGUUGGAUCAGGACACCCAAGUAGUGCAGCCGCUACUAAUGGUUCGUUUGUUCAACGAUUAAAGU
This 452-nucleotide ribosomal RNA is filed under the name Goniurosaurus yamashinae. RNAcentral describes it as "partial 16S rRNA". It matches the Rfam family "Bacterial large subunit ribosomal RNA", at positions 1970 to 2594 of the family's 2925-position model. The record is from RNAcentral. Lineage: Eukaryota; Metazoa; Chordata; Lepidosauria; Squamata; Eublepharidae.